ACAUUUGGGAUCAGAGUACGUGCAGAUCUGUAUGUUUUCUUUUAUGCAUGUCUCAACACGUGCAUAUGGUAAAAAAAGACAAAAACAAAAGCAGUUGAAGCGACCAUGGCUCUUGUUGACCCAUGUAUGUAUCUAUUUGCUUUUAUAUUUUGGUUGUUUCAGUCAUUAGACUGCAGCCAUGCUGGGGCACUUGCCUUGAAGGAUUUAGCCGAACAAAUCAACGCCUGGUAUGUCUUGUAACGGUGUCUUUUGUGGAACUGCUAGAUAAUGAUGAUGUAAAAAAAAAAAGACCAACAUUAGUUGUCAAGCAGUGGUGGUGGACAAACGCAAACAAAGGCACUCACAUCUAGAUAUACGCACCCGUCAUUCACACACACAUACACAGACACACACAUACACAGACACACACACACACACACUUAAACGGCGGGAUUCUUUCAGUUUCUGUCUACUAAAUCCACUCAAAAGGCUCCAGUCGGCUAAAGGCUAUAGUAGAAGACAGUCAUCCAAGUUGUCACUCAGUGGGACUGAACCCGGAACAUCAUACCACAAAGCCAUGCUUGCGGCUAUAUGUAUGUAUGUAUGUAUCACAAGGCCAGCAAUUUCGGGGAGCGGACAAAAUCUCUAUGGAGCCCUCUUCCGUGGUUCCUUAAAGACGUGCUUGCAUUACUAAAUGGUUAAUCCAGAUCUGUGCAUAUCUAUUAAAAGCAAUAAUACUCGAUAUGACGCACAUACACAAAACACACAUAUUCAUAUCUUAUUUCGUAACAUAAACACAGGCUCAUUUACUCUCAACCUUUGCACGUCAAUAGAUAAACAAAAAAGGCAUAGACAUGCUUAUAAAAAUGUUUUUACAUUGUAAUUAUUUCUUGUGAAUUACAGACGUGUAUACAACACAUAUCUCUAACACAUAAAGCAUACAGAAGCAUAUGAAAUGUAAGAGAACGCAUAUAUAUACGCAUUUACUAUUAAUCCAGCCACUCACUCCUUGUUACCUAUUCAUACACAUACACACGCAUUUAUACAUACACAGAGACACAUACACAUACAUAUACACACAUACAUGAAUGUAAUCUCUAUACAUCUCUUGAAAUAUGUGAAAUAGAAUAAUGACAGCAGAUAUGCAUAUAUGCACAGAUUUAUACAACGCUUGUGUAUAAAAAUACAUAAUUGCAUGAUAAUGCAUACGUACAUGCUUAUAUACUCAUUUUUACCCUUUUGCCAUACACACAUGCUCACGCGCACGCACACACACAUACACACACACAGACAACAUUGCAACAGUGACCUUUAUAAUGUUGCUGCAACAUUUCAAUUGCAUUUGAAAUUUAAAAUGUUAAUGCAUUUUUAUUUGUUU
Molecule: long non-coding RNA, 1357 nt
Organism: Octopus bimaculoides (California two-spot octopus)
Lineage: Eukaryota; Metazoa; Mollusca; Cephalopoda; Octopoda; Octopodidae
Source: RefSeq, a predicted model, not a curated record